RNAcentral lists this ribosomal RNA (589 nucleotides) under uncultured bacterium. RNAcentral's name for it is "bacterial SSU rRNA". It matches the Rfam family "Bacterial small subunit ribosomal RNA", at positions 338 to 916 of the family's 1533-position model. The record is from RNAcentral.
CCUACGGGAGGCAGCAGUGGGGAAUAUUGCGCAAUGGGGGAAACCCUGACGCAACAACGCCGCGUGAGUGAGGAAGGACUUCGGUCUGUAAAGCUCUGUUAAUGUGGAAAAAUGGUAGUUGGUCUAAUAGGCCGAUUAUUUGAUGGUACACAUAGAGGAAGCACCGGCUAACUUCGUGCCAGCAGCCGCGGUAAUACGAAGGGUGCAAGCGUUGUUCGGAUUUAUUGGGCGUAAAGCGCGCGUAGGCGGACCUGCAAGUCAGAUGUGAAAUCUCGGGGCUCAACCUCGAAACUGCGUCUGAAACUACAGGUCUAGAAUCUUGGAGGGGGAAGGGAAUUUCUCAUGUAGGGGUAAAAUCCGUAGAUAUGAGAAGGAACACCAGAGGCGAAGGCGCCUUCCUGGACAAGUAUUGACGCUGAGGCGCGAAAGCGUGGGGAUCAAACAGGAUUAGAUACCCUGGUAGUCCACGCUGUAAACGAUGAAUACUAGAUAUUGCAGGAUUUGACCCCAGCAGUGUCGUAGCUAACGCGUUAAGUAUUCCGCCUGGGAAGUACGGUCGCAAGACUAAAACUCAAAAUGAAAUUGACGG